UAGAAUAGUGGGACUUUCAAGGCCGGGU
This 28-nucleotide non-coding RNA is filed under the name Rattus norvegicus (Norway rat). The record is from RNAcentral. Lineage: Eukaryota; Metazoa; Chordata; Mammalia; Rodentia; Muridae.